AAGGCUGGCGGGACGUUGUGCUAAGCCCCUGCUGAGCGCAGGGUGGAAUUCCAGGCCACCCCAAGGCCAGAUCGCCGGCUCCGUUUCUCUGCCGGAACGUAGAGCCCUCUCGCCCUCCGCCUGCCUGGAUCGGGGAUCGAAGGCAACUGGGCAUAAGCAACUAGGAGAAAGGGCGAGAUAAGGCUUCCAUCCCCGCUGCUGCCCGCCAGAGGAGGAAGGAGCAUUUGCAGAUGAGUGACCUGGAGAUAAAGCGCCCCCCCGCAUUAUGCAGCUUGGCCUCCCUCCCCCAGCGGGGGCCAGAAGCACCUGAUGAUUCCCUGCUCCAAUGAGCAAAUGGUCUCAUGAUUCUCAGCGGUAUGAACAACCACAUACGCCGUGACAAGAGAAAUAAAAAAUAGAAGAUGGCGUGAUGGGGAGCAUCAGUGGAACACUCUUUGGGAAGGCUCAGUUAUCAACAACUCUCUGAAAGCCAUCAACAUUGGGAAGAGGUCGCCUGAUUUCUGGGAGGAGACCAUUCCACAACCCUUCUAGCUUCAUCUCCCUUCCCCUCCCGCAACUAAGUGUGGGACUGCCGGGAGUUUCUUCCCAGUGCUCAACCGGUUGGCCGAUACAGGUUGGAGGAGGCAGUCCUGCAAGGACUGAGGAUGGAGGGAUGAACUCCGUCAGCAUCCCAGCCUAUCUCAUAGGGUUGAAGUGUUGCCACGCAGCAGUGUGAGUCCACCCUGUACAAUUCCAGAGGAAACCCAGGAUGUAAAUGUUCCAGAUAAACAGGGUAACUGUCUGAAGAAAUGGCUCUCGACAGAUGAUCCAACCAAGGGUUAAUUUUUCUCCAAGGUUGCAGAACAGGAUCAAGCCCAGAUGCAGAUCCAGUUUCCCACAUCAUGCUAAGCCAUUAUUGUCUUCAAUCACCAAAUCACCAGAAUACCACAAUUUGAUGGAUUAACACAAUACAUUAAACCACAAAUAACAGCUUACAAACCACAAUAGCUAGCUGGCACAUUGCACUAAGCCAAUUACAAACAAACCCCAUUGUGGCUCAGUGUGAUGUGUGAACUCAGCCACACACUUAGCCCCCACACCCAGGAUUUCCUCCUUUGACUGGAAGAACUUUCCAGGGAUUGGGGCAGAAAGGAGUCUUCUGAGGGUCUAAAGCUUAAUUAUGGAAAAAAGAGACACCAGAACAAACUCCAGAACCUGCAAGGCAGACGCUCUCUAACUUAAGGCUCUUGACCUAAACUUCAGUGUGAGGAAGAGGAGGAGGAGGGGAAGGAGAAGGAGAAGGAGAAGGAGAAGGAGAAGGAGAAGGAGAAGGAGAAGGAGAAGAAGGAACAACAAACAACAAACAACAAACAACAAACAACAAACAACUUUCCUUUGGCACCCAAAUAAGGAAGAAGCCAAGAAAGACUUCUGGGGUUUGGUUCCUUCUUCAGUGAGAGAGCCAGACCUCCAAAGAGCUACACCCAGCACAGAGACUCAGAUGGAUUUCCAUGAGGGCAGGGAGCUCUCUCUCUCUCUCUCUUGCUCUCUCUUUCUUUUAUAUUUUAUUGGAAGAAUUAAAAAAAAAAAGGGCUUUCAAAGAUUUGGAUACACCGGGCAAAUGGACAUU
This is a long non-coding RNA of Python bivittatus (Burmese python), 1609 nucleotides long. RefSeq lists it as uncharacterized. Lineage: Eukaryota; Metazoa; Chordata; Lepidosauria; Squamata; Pythonidae. The record is from RefSeq and is a predicted model, not a curated record.